GUCCUUCUGAGUAAAUAGAAGGUCUGACCUGCCCGGUGAAUGUUUUAACGGCCGCGGUAUUUUGACCGUGCGAAGGUAGCAUAAUCAUUAGUCUUUUAAUAGGGGGCUGGAAUGAAAGGUUUGACGUAACAUAAGCUGUUUCAUUUAUCUAAAUUGAACUUAACCUUUAAGUUAAAAGGCUUAUUUUUUUUUGGAGGACGAGAAGACCCUAUAGAGCUUUACAUUGUUUAUUUUUUUUAUAUUUUAGUUGUAUAAUUUUUUUUAUUUAGAUAAAUAUUGUUUUGUUGGGGUGACAGAAAAUAUAUAAUUAACUUUUAUUAUACUAUUUACACUGAUAUGUGUGUAUUGGAUCCAAUUUUAUUGAUCAAUAGUUUAAGUUACCUUAGGGAUAACAGCGUAAUCUUCUUUCAGAGUUCAAAUUUACAAGAAGGAUUGCGACCUCGAUGUUGGAUUAAGAUAAUAAUUGGGUGUAGCCGCUUAAUUAAUAGGUCUGUUCGACCUUUAAAUUCUUACAUGAUCUGAGUUCAGACCGG
This 533-nucleotide ribosomal RNA is filed under the name Drepanoneura muzoni. RNAcentral's name for it is "partial 16S ribosomal RNA". It matches the Rfam family "Bacterial large subunit ribosomal RNA", at positions 1819 to 2619 of the family's 2925-position model. Lineage: Eukaryota; Metazoa; Arthropoda; Insecta; Odonata; Coenagrionidae. The record is from RNAcentral.